AAAUUGAAGAGUUUGAUCAUGGCUCAGAUUGAACGCUGGCGGCAGGCCUAACACAUGCAAGUCGAACGGUAGCACAGAGAGCUUGCUCUCGGGUGACGAGUGGCGGACGGGUGAGUAAUGUCUGGGAAACUGCCUGAUGGAGGGGGAUAACUACUGGAAACGGUGGCUAAUACCGCAUAACGUCGCAAGACCAAAGAGGGGGACCUUCGGGCCUCUUGCCAUCAGAUGUGCCCAGAUGGGAUUAGCUAGUUGGUGAGGUAACGGCUCACCAAGGCGACGAUCCCUAGCUGGUCUGAGAGGAUGACCAGCCACACUGGAACUGAGACACGGUCCAGACUCCUACGGGAGGCAGCAGUGGGGAAUAUUGCACAAUGGGCGCAAGCCUGAUGCAGCCAUGCCGCGUGUAUGAAGAAGGCCUUCGGGUUGUAAAGUACUUUCAGCGGGGAGGAAGGUGUUGUGGUUAAUAACCGCAGCAAUUGACGUUACCCGCAGAAGAAGCACCGGCUAA
RNAcentral lists this ribosomal RNA (508 nucleotides) under Salmonella enterica subsp. enterica serovar Muenchen. RNAcentral's name for it is "bacterial SSU rRNA". It matches the Rfam family "Bacterial small subunit ribosomal RNA", at positions 1 to 500 of the family's 1533-position model. The record is from RNAcentral. RNAcentral also lists the same sequence under 1 other name. Lineage: Bacteria; Pseudomonadati; Pseudomonadota; Gammaproteobacteria; Enterobacterales; Enterobacteriaceae.